Molecule: ribosomal RNA, 119 nt
Filed under: Clostridium perfringens
Lineage: Bacteria; Bacillati; Bacillota; Clostridia; Eubacteriales; Clostridiaceae
Source: RNAcentral
UCUAGUGAUGAUGCGUUUAAAGGGUAACACCCGUUCCCAUUCCGAACACGACGGUUAAGCCUUUAACGGUCGAUGGUACUGCACGGGAGACUGUGUGGGAGAGUAGAUGGUCGCUAGGU